Molecule: long non-coding RNA, 3090 nt
Organism: Neofelis nebulosa (Clouded leopard)
Lineage: Eukaryota; Metazoa; Chordata; Mammalia; Carnivora; Felidae
Exons: 5
Source: RefSeq, a predicted model, not a curated record
UCAGGUUACAGUCUCACGUGUUUUGGAGCCCUGCGAGCCGUAAAAUGAUCUGCCCAAAGUAAGGCCCAGGAAUGGCUGUGUAAUUGAAGAGCCCCCGUGAAAAGUGAAGAUGGGGUUCACAGAUCAGUAGGAACUUCAAUAAGGAAAUGGCAGAGCAUUGAAACCUCCCAGGAUACCUUUGAAGCCACACCUCGGAGGAAACCCUCUAUUCUUUUGGGAAGAAUUAGGUGCAGUGACGAUGACUCCUUUAGAAAACAAUCACCCAAAAUCCCAAAUUAAGAUCCCCCCUGAGUGUGGCAAAUGCAGUCACACGGGCAUAUGGUGCUUCAGAGAAUGCAAGAGAAUGGAUUUCCAAGCAAGAUACAUUUCAGGUUCGGCACACCGGCAAGUUGAACAAACUCACAGAGACGCAUACCGAUUUUAGGAGGAAAAGGGAAGAAGCGGGGUGACCACUGUGGCGUGAAGAGGGGACGCAGAAAUCCCAUCUCCCCUGCCUCGUAGUACCGCCACUCCCUUCCAAUGAUGCUGCCGUUGCUCAAACGUCCUGCAUGCCGCCUCUGGUGCUACCCACAGUACUUCCUCUCCAAACAUACGGAGAAGUGUUUCAAGGUGUAGGUAAUCACCACUGGUGACUCUGUGAGGGGUCCAACUAGAUAGUGAGGAUUUUUCUUUUUCGUUACGGCAGAUUCAAAGAUAAGGAGACAAGUUUUCUUUCACAGCUAAGUCAUCAACUACUCACAAGGGGAAUCCACGGGAUAAAGUCUCAGAGUUUUUGAGCAAUGCCAGCAUAAUGGGGGGAGGUUCAAAACAUCCAGCUGAUUAUGGAAGGACACUUCCGGUUCUAAUCGGUGGGAUAGGUUUGCAUAACAACAAAACAAAAGAAAAAUCGCUGAAAUUUUAUCUCAUGUUAUAUGGGAAAAAAUCUGUCCUCUCAAGUAUACUUGUAAUUGUAGUCUCCUCUUUCAAGAAACUUUCUUUUUUACACUGUAUUAAGGCACAGGAGAGGGAUACUAAGGAUCUCCUCUUACCUCCUAAAACAAUAAUACUAAGGAGAUUUAAAAUAAACCCAAGUUUUCUUUUUAAAAAUCCCAGACAGAUCAUGUAUACACAUUGAAGACAUAAUUGGGGGGAAAAAUCAACAUUUCCCCUCAACCUUAUCAUUGUCUAAUAUUUUAAAAUAAGCAUCGAAAUGUUUAGCCCUGCAAAAGAUCUAAAGAAACCACAUCUGCCAGAAGGAUUGCUAUUGAUCUGUCUCAAGCAUAUAGCCAUGUAUGAUAUAAACUCAAACUUAAGGUUUGUUUUCCAAGACUGUACAGCUCUGCAAAAAUAUCCAGAAAUCCAGUUUCCCAAAAAGAUGAGUAAGCCCCUUUCAGUCACAAUUUAAACUGGGCAUUUCAUCUUUUAAGAUUACAAUACAAAUAAGAUGAAUCAUUUGGUACUUUAUCUAGGAUUGUUCAUAGUGAUGGCACUUUUUCCUGCAGUUUGCAAAAAUGAAAAAGUUAAAGCUGUAGAUCUGAGCCUAAAUUUCAUAUUCACAACUAGUAAUUAUUUUUAAAUUUGAUCAUUUGCUAUUUAAAAAAGGCAAUUUGAAGAAAAUGUCUGCUUCUUGCUUAUGCUUCCUGUAUUUUGAAAGCAUUCAUAGCUAAAGAUACUCUGGAUUUUAUCCCCUAAGGGAGGCUGAGGAAGAAAGGGUAAGAUCUUGAACAGAGGUCUCCUUCAGCACCCAAGUGUUUUAAUGGAAUGAAAAAGGACACUUCAAGCCAUAAUAGAUAUGCAGGGCUGGGUAAGGUUGAUAAAUUAAUUCUAUGGUUAUAUUCAUUUUCUUUUAAAAUGCUAAUUUACCAAGAACAUAACAGAGGAAAUGUGUUUUCUGUUUUUGUUUUUGUCCUAUCUAAAAUUUAAAAAGUAGCAAAGCGAACUUCCUUUGCACCCUAACAUGAAUCCCUAUCAUAUUUAUGAGGACGUACAGUAUCCUAAGAUAUGUGCAUUUUAAAUGUUCCAAACUGUGGUGGAAUUGGGGGAUUCUGAGAAUUCUAGGUAGUAAAAGAGCAAAAAAAUUGUGACAUGGGACUGGCCCUCUUCUAUAGCAGGAACAUUUAAAUCAAGAAAUUGAGAGGUAAAAUUCAAAAAUGUGUGAGGGCUUCAUUGAAUACAGCAGAAAAUGACCCAACUAGAAAUGAGGUAUGUCAUGUGACCCUCCAGCCUGGUUAGGGCAUUCCCAGUGGAGCUGAGGAAUUUGAUCUGUUUUAUAGCAAACAGAUGUUUGGUGUUAGAGUGAAGGUACACAAUUUUUCAGAGUAUCUAUGAAUCUCUGAUUAAUAGUUUGAUGCAAAAAAGAAAAAAAAAAGGAACUAAAUCCAAAACCUUAAUAAUGUAUUUUGCUUUCCUGUAAUGACUCCUAUAUAUAGUGCUACUACUUAGAUUGUGUAGCUUUCCUACUAAUUACAGUAAGGAGCUUUUUAAAAAUUUUUGUUUGUUUGUUUUUCUGAAUCAAACCUGUUAAGGUUAUGUGAAGUCUGUCUUAGUUCCCCAGGUUAAAAAAAAAAAAAAAGAAGCUGUGUAUCUCAGCAAAUUCUGGUGGAGGCUUAAGACUGAAAAGCAUGAGGUUUGUUUAAAUAACAGGACAACCUCAACAUCGGGCCAACAGUGUCCUCUAUUCUUUUUCCCUUACACAGUAACAAUCAGAUAGAAAUGAUUUUGCUGGCUGGUCCAUCCAAAAUCUGAUGCCAAUGUAAUAGGAGUCUUCUGUCCCAGCAUUUAAUCCCAAUAAACUAUCCGCUCACUAAAAUACUCCCAUAACUCUGACUCUGUGUGUAUGAAAACAAUACUCAUGUAUCUUACAACAAAGUCGUUUACAAAUGGAAAGUUCCAGGGCACCUGAUUGGCUUACUCGGUUAAGCGUGGGACUCUUGAUCAGGGCUCAGGUCAUGAUCUCAUGGUUUGUGGGAUCGAGCCUGGCGUUGGGCUUGUGCUGAAAGCACACAGCCUGCUUUGGAUUCUCUCUCUGUCCCUCCCCGACUCGGGCUCGCCCUCUCAAAAUAAAUAAGCUUAAAAAAAUGUUAAUUAAAAAAAAAAAAAGAAAAGAAAAAA